Long non-coding RNA from Anneissia japonica, 1499 nucleotides. RefSeq lists it as uncharacterized. The record is from RefSeq and is a predicted model, not a curated record. The transcript is spliced from 7 exons. NCBI's taxonomy places the organism in Eukaryota, Metazoa, Echinodermata, Crinoidea, Comatulida, Comatulidae.
AUAAAUUACACAGGGCAUGGUCCAACACAAGAUGUUGUUUGUAUCCUCGAUGGGCUUUACAUAUAUUGUUACUAAAACCUUCCUGUUUAUGAUAUCCAUCCAAAGAUAUGUUGAUUUCUGUCUGUGUUUGUGAGCCACAAUGAAAUAAAUCCGUAAUCAUUUUGAGGGUGAGUUGCAGCUUUUUAUGCAUGAUUCCUUGUCAACUGGAAUACAGUCAUCUGGGCACAUAGGUAUAGUAACUGAAUUUAUUUGUAGUCGCCUUUUUACCACAGAUAUAAGCCAUGUGACAACAUUCUGACCUCCUAUGCAACAUCAUAGAACAUUACUGCACCAUUCUCUGGCAAUUUAAGGUAAACUUGAAAGGAAGAAAGAAAUGCAAUUUAAGGUUGAUACAUAGUUGUUGAGCUACUAACAUUUUCUGUGGUGUGGUCUAAAUUUGUUGACAAAUCGAUACUACUUUAUGCAGGACUUUUUUUUACCUUGAGCUUGUUGAAGGCAUAGAUUAAAUAAUGCAGCAAUAUAAAACUGAUGAAAAACCAAAAGACUGAGAUCGGUAUUGAACCCUACUAUUUGCUUGUCAGUUGCCUCUUGGGAGAGAAAUUCUCAUAGCUUGAUUAUCAAGUGUCAUAGAUUAACACACUCUGUUAAUCCAUUAUGAUGAUAGGUUAACUUACAAAUAAAAAUUGGACAAGUUAAAAAUUUGUUGAAUUAAUUCUCUAGAAAUACAUGUGCAAACAUAAAAACGCCUUAACUUAUUUAGUUUCAAGGUAGUUGCCAUGUUGUUCAUUCACCUUUCUGCCCUAUUUUAUUUCCUUGACAGUUGUUUGAAGUACAAAAGAGUGUGAAAAUGAAAUUGGAUUAAACUUGCCUUAUUAUAAUUUUGAUGUGUUCAUGCCGCAGAAAAACAGUGAAAAAACCACAUAGGUCAGAGGUAUAGUAAAUGAAAGGUUUGGCACUUUUAUGUGCUUUAAAAGAAACAAUUGCGAAAAAUGUGAUUUGUUUUUUUAUUGCUGCAACUUUCUCUUUAUUGUUUGAGUUCAUUCCUUAAUUUAUUUUCUGUCAAAAUGUCAAGAUAUUUGUGAACAUUUUCUGCUAAGAGAUUAAAUUACAUCUGCUGUCUGAGAUACUUUGAAUUGUUUUUGUCUAUAUUAUAUGAAUAUUGGUAUCUAAGAAAAAUUGUUAACUAAUUAAAAAAAAAAUAAUAAUUUUUAUGUUUUUUUUUUUUUGCAUCAGGAUAUUUAAUAGGAAUAUUUUACCCUACCUGACAUAGUGCUGCAGUACCCGCUGCUAAUUGGAUGCAACACUGGUAACUAAGACAGCUCGGUGGUCUAGUGGUAAAGACACCAAUCUAAUUAUCUGGAGGCAAUGGGUUCAAUUCCUACCCAUAUCACUUCCAAGAUUUUUUUUUUCACAAGUAUUUGGAUAAGUACUAAGCAUUCAGUAUGAUAACAUAUGUCGGGUAGGGUAAAACUUCAUUUUUAUAAAUAAAAAAAAAAAUU